GUUUGUUUGUCUUGGAGUGUGUGUCUACCAGCAGCAUGAGGGCGGCUUUGUCGAGAUAACAUGCAACGGUACAGAGAGUCCUCACAUGCUUCAGUGCCAUGGAUGGCGUCACGCAGCCUUGCCUUCAAUAUGACCCACAUCGUCAAAUUGACAGAAUAUUCUGGGGAGCAGCAUGCCGUGCAGUUCCCUGCUGUCCGCUCUGUGACCCCUCUGAAGUUACACCGAUUUCCAUGAAGCCUUGAAAAGGGAGGGGAGCUGCAAGCCGAUCCACGCUCGCCACCAUCAACAAGGCGUAGAUCCGAACUCCCUCUGACGUCUUGAUGUCACAGCCUCUGUACGUACAAGCAGGACUGAGCGCCAUUAGAGCCUCCAGUUGAUUUGUGUUCAUUAGUGAGAAAAUGUAUGUUGUACAUCGUAAAAAAAAAUGAAAUACAUUUUUUCUCAAUUUUGACUGCAAAAACUGCUUAGUUUUUACAGUUGUUUGCUGUGAAAUCUCUCCAAGACACGCAAAGACAGAGCGGAG
Molecule: long non-coding RNA, 523 nt
Organism: Gasterosteus aculeatus aculeatus (three-spined stickleback)
Lineage: Eukaryota; Metazoa; Chordata; Actinopteri; Perciformes; Gasterosteidae
Source: Ensembl